ACACCUCCAUCCCAGCUGACCCCCAUCAUCUCUCAUGCCAGAAAACGACCACCUCUUUCACCCCAAACAAUCCGACGCGAGCAUAAGCAACCCAGCAGCCCAUCCACAUAUGUUGAUCCAUAUCCUAGAUCGUCGAGGUCGUUGUUGAGAUUCCGGGCAGAUUCGAGUUUAUUUCGGUUUCAAAGUUUUGGGGCAGAUUUGUUUCCAUUCAGGUUCUUCUUUGUUUCGAUCCGGUUAGUUUGUUUAAGUUUCAUUUCUGUCCGUAUUGUUUUUUUAUAUUCUUGGAUCUAAAAUCAGUAUAUUAUUUUCUUGUUCAUUUCUUGAUUAUUUCUUCAGUUGAUUUGAUUCAUUUGUUCUAGUUUAGUUUUAAUAUAGAUAUGUUUUAGUUUAAUCUUUUGAAUUUUUAUCUUGAUUGUAAUGUUGUUACGAUUAAUGUGAAGUUCAAUUUAUGUUUAAGUUUGGUGACUUGAAUGUGUUUGAUCUGUUAAGUUUAAUUUGAAUCUGAGUUUAGUGAUUGGAGUCUACUUGUUUGUUAUGAUUCAAUUUUGUUAUUGUUGUUGAAUCUGAAAGUAUGUUUGUUGUUAAACAUGUUGUUCAGUCAAAAUAAUUUUUAGUUGGUUCUUUGUUCAUCAUAUAAUUUGAAUUUGUUGAUUAAUUUUGAUUAAGGAUUGGCUAUAGUUGCUAUAUUUUUGUUAAUUGAUUUAAGUGAAUUGGUUAUAACUUAUAGGGUAGAAUAAUAAUAAUUUCAGGGGGUAAUACGGGAAUUUAUAGCUUGAUGAAUAAUUUAUUUUGAGUGCUUUGUCUACUAGAUAUAAAAGUAUGAUUAAAAUAUUAUAGUAGGGGACAAGACAUAAUUAUGUAAAGAGGAAGGUAAUAAUGUGGUCUUCUUUAACCAUCGAAAAUGGGGGAUUGUGGGGUCCUGAUGUGCUUUAAUUUGAAUUAAUUGAUAGGGGGACCACUGAGAAAUAAGAGAUGUUUGGUUGAUUGGGAAUUAGAAAUAGUAGUUUAAUAAUGAAAAGCUCAAUAACCCACAUAGUAGAGGAAUAUAGGGCUGGAAACUAAGAAAGAAGGAGAGAGUAAUUAGAAAAGGAUAAUGAUAAAAAGUAAAAGAAAAAGGGGCUAGAAAGGAUCUUGUUUUAGAUAUAAAGAAGUGUCAUUCGACACUUAGAAGGGGAGAACAAUCUGUUAAGAGGAAUUGAGAGUCAAAAGAGAGUUUUGAGAGUUAAAAACUAAAAAAAAAUCAGAAGCUUACUAUUCCCUUGUAUUCUUGGAAUCUUCAAGUAUUUUUUCCUGAGUUUGCUACUGGUUCAUUUGAUACUGCUCUACUGGUUCUGCUAUAAUUUUGUGGGUUUUUCAAAACUGGUGCUGGAUACUAUUUUUCGUUGGGAUUUUCUGCUUGGUUUUCAACUCUUUCCCAGGGUUUUUCUACUACUGGUUGCUGGUUAUCGUUGGUUAUAUUUAUUGUUGCGUUGUGUAUGCUAUUGUUGUUGCCAUCACUGACUUUCCUUCUCCUUCUUUGUUUCCAAAUAUCAGGUACACAUUGCUAUACUGGUACACUUGUAGCUGAAACUUGAAGCAUGAAUGAAAUGAAGUCUUAAAACUCCAAAGUUAUUUAGUUGUGGUUUUGUAUACUAAGUUUUAUGAUAUGUAGUCAUUAGUUUUUUAUUACAAUCAUAUGAUUAGUCUAUUAUGUAUAAAUAAGUAGUGAUCCACAGUAGUUAGCUUGCAAAC
RNAcentral lists this long non-coding RNA (1731 nucleotides) under Nicotiana benthamiana. RNAcentral describes it as "long non-coding RNA (NBEN_LNC012953)". The record is from RNAcentral. Lineage: Eukaryota; Viridiplantae; Streptophyta; Magnoliopsida; Solanales; Solanaceae.